This is a long non-coding RNA of Rhododendron vialii, 929 nucleotides long. RefSeq lists it as uncharacterized. The transcript is spliced from 2 exons. Lineage: Eukaryota; Viridiplantae; Streptophyta; Magnoliopsida; Ericales; Ericaceae. The record is from RefSeq and is a predicted model, not a curated record.
CGGAUCGAUUCCCAUGUUCAUGAGCUUUCUUCUCAAAUGAGAGUUCCAAUAGUUCUUCACCUCGUUGUCCGUUCGCCCUGGCAAUCUCCCAGCUAUCAAUGACCACCUAAAAUGAAAUAUUUUCCCAUUGUAGUUAGGAUUAGAAUUAGCAAUAUAUUUCUUAUUAUAACAAAUCUUGUUAUAGGUGCUACUUUUUAUGAAGUUUUACUUAAGCCUUACAAAAGGAAGAAAAAGAUUAAGGAAAAUGCUACAAUUAAUUUUGCAUAAUAUUUAGGACAUCAAGUUUAAAACUCAUAUAUAAAGGUUUUGUUUUUAAGUUAUGUGCCAAAUGCUAUACAUGAAAAUUAUGAGUCCCAAAUUGAUGAUAUAAAUUUACGUCCAAACUUCUAUGGAUAGAGUGUGUAUUACAACAUUUUGCGAAGAUAUAUAUUUGUGAGAGGGUAUUAAUAUGUCCAAGUACCGAUUGCCCAGGAGUGCGUGAAGCUUGAUGAUGAGAUCUUCUUCGUCUUCGGCGAAGUUUCCUCUUUUGAGGUCCGGCCUCAGGUAAUUUAUCCAUCUUAGCCUACAACUUUUACCACAUCGAAGUAGUCCUGAUCCCAAAACAAAAAACAAAACAUAAAGUUAAAUUAAGGAAACCCAUUAAUUUUUCUGUUUCCCCUUUUUUUAAUUUUUUAUUUCCCCUAGUUCUAGCUAAACAUGGCGGCCGAAAACAACGAACCUGCAGCCUGAGGAAGGGUACGCCAACAGCCUUCGCCGUGUCUCCGAAUGUAAUCUACGAGCUUCUGAUCCUCUUGUUUCGACCAUGCCCCUUUGUUCGUGUCUUGCUUCUCACAACAUGGCUUCCUCAUUUUACUACGUACUAUCUUUGCAUACAACUCCCAAACACCCUUCACUGAGAGAGAGAGAGAGAGAGAGAAGAAGAAGAAGAA